Molecule: ribosomal RNA, 249 nt
Filed under: uncultured Streptophyta
Lineage: Eukaryota; Viridiplantae; Streptophyta
Description: partial 16S ribosomal RNA
Rfam family: Bacterial small subunit ribosomal RNA
Source: RNAcentral
UGGGGAAUUUUCCGCAAUGGGCGAAAGCCUGACGGAGCAAUGCCGCGUGAAGGCAGAAGGCCCACGGGUCAUGAACUUCUUUUCUCGGAGAAGAAAAAAUGACGGUAUCUGAGGAAUAAGCAUCGGCUAACUCUGUGCCAGCAGCCGCGGUAAGACAGAGGAUGCAAGCGUUAUCCGGAAUGAUUGGGCGUAAAGCGUCUGUAGGUGACUUUUCAAGUCCGCCGUCAAAUCCCAGGGCUCAACCCUGGA